This 837-nucleotide ribosomal RNA is filed under the name Gorgonocephalus eucnemis. RNAcentral describes it as "SSU rRNA". It matches the Rfam family "Eukaryotic small subunit ribosomal RNA", at positions 24 to 905 of the family's 1831-position model. The record is from RNAcentral. Lineage: Eukaryota; Metazoa; Echinodermata; Ophiuroidea; Euryalida; Gorgonocephalidae.
UUAUAUGCUUGUCUCAAAGAUUAAGCCAUGCAUGUCUAAGUACAAGCUGUAUGAGGCGAAACUGCGGAUGGCUCAUUAAAUCAGUCAUAGUUCCUUGGAUCGAGUUUCCCUUACAUGGAUAACUGUGGUAAUUCUAGAGCUAAUACAUGCCACGAAGCGCCGACCUUACGGAAGGCGUGCUUUUAUUAGGAUCAAGACCAACACGGGCUUGCCCGGAUUCGUUGGUGAACUCUGGAUAACUUCGCAGAUCGCAUUGUCAUCGAACAGGCGACAUUUCUUUCAAACGUCUGACCUAUCAAUUUUCGAUGGUACGAUAUGCGCCUACCAUGGUGCUAACAGGUGACGGGGAAUCAAGCGGAUACCACAUCCAAGGAAGGCAGCAGGCGCGCAAAUUACCCACUCUCGACACGAGGAGGUAGUGACGAAAAAUAACAAUACAGGACUCUUUCGAGGCCCUGUAAUUGGAAUGAGUACACUUUAAAUCCUUUAACGAGGAUCUACUGGAGGGCAAGUCUGGUGCAGCUCCAGUGGCGUAUAUUAAUACUGCUGCAGUUAAAAAGCUCGUAGUUGGAUCUAGGGCGUAGGCUGAGGGUCCCUCGCAAGGGGUGCACCUCUCAGACCUGGCCUCCCUCGCGGUUUGCGCUCGGUUCUCUUAAUUGAGUGCCGAGUGCUACCGGAACGUUUACUUUGAAAAAAUUGGAGUGUUCAAAGCAGGCGUAACAGCCUGAACAGCAGAGCAUGGAAUAAUGGAAUAGGACCUCGGUUCUAUUGCGUUGGUUUUAAGAGUUACGAGGUAAUGAUUAAGAGGGACUGACGGGGGCAUUCGUAUUGCGGGGU